RNAcentral lists this ribosomal RNA (468 nucleotides) under uncultured bacterium. Its description in RNAcentral is "partial 16S ribosomal RNA". It matches the Rfam family "Bacterial small subunit ribosomal RNA", at positions 28 to 507 of the family's 1533-position model. The record is from RNAcentral.
GACGAACGCUGGCGGCGUGCUUAACACAUGCAAGUCGAACGGAAAGGCCCUGCUUUUGUGGGGUGCUCGAGUGGCGAACGGGUGAGUAACACGUGAGUAACCUGCCCUUGACUUUGGGAUAACUUCAGGAAACUGGGGCUAAUACCGGAUAGGAGCUCCUGCUGCAUGGUGGGGGUUGGAAAGUUUCGGCGGUUGGGGAUGGACUCGCGGCUUAUCAGCUUGUUGGUGGGGUAGUGGCUUACCAAGGCUUUGACAGGUAGCCGGCCUGAGAGGGUGACCGGCCACAUUGGGACUAAGAUACGGCCCAGAGUCCUACGGGAGGCAGCAGUGGGGAAUAUUGCACAAUGGGCGGAAGCCUGAUGCAGCAACGCCGCGUGCGGGAUGACGGCCUUCGGGUUAUAAACCGCUUUCGCCUGUGACGAAGCGUGAGUGACGGUAAUGGGUAAAGAAGCACCGGCUAACUACGUG